This 240-nucleotide unclassified non-coding RNA is filed under the name soil metagenome. RNAcentral describes it as "partial contains 5.8S ribosomal RNA, internal transcribed spacer 2, and large subunit ribosomal RNA". The record is from RNAcentral.
AACAAGGCGUACCUGCGGACCUGCGGAAGGAUCAUUACCAGAGUGCCUUCAGGCUCUCCAACCCAUUGUGAACAUACCUACGUUCCCCCGGCGGGCCCAGCGCGCGGCGAGGUCUCCCUCGCCCCGCGUCCGCCGAGGGCACCUCAAACCCGAUUUUACGUCGUGUCUUCUGAGGGGCGAAAGCCCGUAAAACAAAAUGAAUCAAAACUUUCAACAAUGGAUCUCAGAUCGGAAGAGCAC